CUGCUGCUCUGAUGGGGCACUAGUGUGCCUGUGGCCUCAGCUGCCUUUUCCUUUAGGUCUCCACAUUCUACUCUGUUUCCCUUUGCAUGCAGGAUGCUUACUUGUUUGGGUCCAGAUUCUGGCAGGAAGCCUGCAGCAUGCUCAGACUGGAUUGUUGGAUGAUUGUCUAAUAAAGUUACUGUAAGCAACGGUGAGAGCAGAAGUUAGGGUGAGUAUGAUGACUCUGGGAGAAUGGUCAUGAGAGCCGUGAGCACCCAGGACUUGCAGAGGCGACGCAAAAAGCCACACCCAGGACCUCCAGCAGUCCACAGCAGCCAAACAGGAAGGAAGCCGUGGAAUAUUCCAAUCCCAUUUUUCAUCCAUCCACAAGCUCCUGCUGGAACCUGCCUUGGCCCAACCGGGAGGCAGGGGCCAACGAGCCCAUGGGUGCUGUCCCCUCAGGUCAGCCUCGGCUGAGAAUGAUGCAACCUGGAUCUGAUUAAUACCAGAAAGACAGCUGUUGUCUUUUUUUGCUUGUGUGAGCGGAUGUGCAGGCAGUGGAGCCAGAACAUCCCCUGGUCCACAGAGGCUGGAAAGGAUGAACGCCUGGACAUAGGAGGCACAGGGGUCACGGAAUACUAAGAGGGUAACACAGACCCCUUCUUCAAGACCCCCAGGAGGCAAGUACGAGAGCUCCCGAGACUCACAAAGAGAAGAAAGCCCCAGGGCUCUGCACCCUCUGCCCACCUCUCUCUGUGGCCUCUUUUGUAGGCAUUCGAGUUGCUCGACGGCAUCCAGGCACAGUGCCUUAACUUCACUCACUUUUGCUGAAACUCUGCUUGGCCCUCAGGAGACAGCAGGGCACAGCAGACAGGAACAGGAGCAGCUGUCCUGGAGCAAAUGACCUGCUUACCCUGCACCUCAGCUUCCUGAUCUGAGCAGUAGGAGAAGUAACCGCACCUCCCCAAUCAGACUUGCCGCAUGUGCCCGAGUGCUUAGAACAAAGCCUCUGUGGGUUUGCUACUCUUACACUUUCUUGAGAAUCAGAGAAAGAAUAGAAUAAAAUCGCCAUGUCCCAAGCCCAAGUCAACGGCAACCUGUGAGUACAAGAGGGAAUGGCCAAGCGACCAGGUACACCUAUCCUGUCCCCAGGCCUGAGGUUCCUGGGCAUCCAUCAGGACCCAAUGUUGAAUUAACACGAUUCAGAUCAAAGAUUGGGCUCGGACACAGCCCCCAGUAGCCCCUGUGUCCUGUCACGGGACAGGCAAGAGACUGUCAUCUAGCCAGUCACAAGGUCAUCCUCCAUCCCACAAUUGCUUGUCCUGUUGGGAGACCCUGGCAGCCUCACGGAGGCAGCUCACUCUAGGCUUAUAGGAGAUCCUGGGGACCCCUCUGCCCGGCCAGUUCUGGAAUUGGGGAGAAGUGAGUCGGUAGAGACCUUUUUGUAAGAGGAAGGAGCCAUGGAGGCACCUCUGUCCUCACUCCUCAGUGCCAGUUACUCAGCAAAUACGUAUGCAGGGAAAACAAGCUGAACUGCACCUGCUCUGGACCUUGCAAAGUGAGGACACAGCUCCCGGGGGCUUCCUGGUGCAUCCUGUGGCUCAUACCAGACACAAACUUCUUUCUGGCUUACUGACCGUGGUUUCUCUGACCACCUGUCUUCCUGGGCCUCCCACCCUGCCCCUGGCAGUAAUCUCCUUUGCCAGCUCUUCCUGCGCUGCCAGACCUUAGAGGAGGGGGCUGGGGGCUCUCCUGGAGCCUGCUGUCCUCUGGUUAUCUUGCACAUUCUUACAGCCUUAAAUAUCACCUGUGCGAGGUGAUUUCUGAAGCUCCGCUUUCAACUCCAGAGUCGCAGAGCUCCGGACUCUUGCUUGAUAUUUGGGUGUCUCCCAUGUAUCUCAGUGCUUUCACUCCCUGCCCACCCCCAUCAUCCUCUCAACCCCUGACCUUAGCAUCUAGGCUCAUCCAGGUCUGCUUUCUUUCCCUCACUGCUUGCAUCUAACCUACUCCUGCCAGUCAAUUCCCACUGAGUAACUCAGAUCCCCCUCACUUCUCUCCGCCCCGCAGGCCACCCAGUCACCAUCCUCAGCUGUCUGGACUUCUGCAAUAGCCCCUCAGGAGGGUGUUCUUCUGCUUCCAUUUCCAUUUCCCUCCCACCCUCUCUCCAAACAGCAGCAGUCGAAGGAACUUUUGAAGAAAAAUUAAGUUGCACUAUCUUAUUCCUCAUUUGAAGCUUUCAGGGAUGCUCUCUGUAUGUGGUGUAAAAUCCAGCUCCUCUCCCCAUGCAAGCCCUGCAUGCUGGAGCCCUCACCUGCCCCGACUCUUCUCUCCAACGUGCCCCACCCUCGUGAAUCAUCUGCAUUCCCUGGACCCCUCCCCAGCUGCUCAGACUCCUGGAUUCUUCUCCUGUGCCCAGGUCUCAGCUUAAACGUCACCUCCUUGUUUGCAUUGUCCAGGACCAGCACCAGCCGGGGAGAUACACGGAGGCGCUCGAUAGACUUGCUCACCUGUUAGAGGCUGCACAGUCCCACACGGGUGUCUGCAGGCUGGGAGACUGGGAGAUCAGUUAGCUGCUCUGUCCAGGAAGCUGAAGCCGCAGAACUCAGGGGCAGGGAUGCAGCCCUCUAGAGGCUGAGACCUAAGAGGCCCUGGUGGAUGCUGGUGUGAGUCGGGGUUCAAAGGAUGAGGCAUCUGGAGCUUUCUGUCCAAUAGUGAAAGCAGCAGGGACAACUGUGUCAGCUCUAGAAGGGUCUGGUUGGUGUGAGCAGGCACGAGCUGCCCUCCCUUCCACUGUUCUACCCUAUCAGGGGCCCCGGCCUGGUAGACGGUUCUGCCCACAUUCGGGGCGGGUCUCCCACUCAGUGUACUGAGCCACUUGCAGGCAUCUCCAGGAGCAGCCUCAUGGGCACACCCAGGAAUGCUCUCAAUCCGGCAAGGUGACAGCCAGGAUUGGCGGCUCCCCGGGCUGUCCUAAACCUCCCCAUUGUUCCCGAUGCCACACAGUGCUUGUGGCACUUGCAGAGAUCAUAAGUCGAUAUGCUUACCUUCAUUGGUUUUCUUGAGUAUUAUCUAUUGUGUUCUCUGGACUCUAAGCUCAAAAAGACAGGAAUAAUGAGUGUCUUGGUUCCUACAGGGCCUCUUCCAGCAUCAGGCAUGUCUGAGGGCAUCUUAUCAAUACAUCUGGGGAGAAAGAUGGGGAAGGGAGGAGGAGAGGGGAGCAUGGGGAAGGAGGGAGGGAAGUGUUUUAGAGCUCAGGAGGGAAGUGGAGGCAACAAGAAGCACUUAAACAUAUUGUGGUUCUUCUGUUGUUUAAGUAUCUACCUUGUGGCCGGUGCUUUGUGAAUUAUUUCAGCUGUUUUAAUAACCCUUAGCACAACUGUUAAAAUUUCCUUGUAUUUGUAAGAAAAAAGUAGCUCUGCAGACUUAAGGAGCUUGCCCCAAAUCUCACACUGGUUCUGCAUGUGAGGGGCCCAGGCUGUCCCCUCCACUUCCUAAGGCCAGUCUCCAGGGUCUAAGUAGCCAAUGAGCUGCCUCCCAGGCCUUGUGGCUCACAACCGCUGGCUACUUUCAAUUUUAAUUUUUGUCGGUUGCUCUUUGGAGGAACUUAUUAAGAAGCUCCACAUUUGGGCUAAAGUAGAAGAUAGAAUUGCUGCAGUGGUUCCCCGUGAAGCAGACGGAUGACCUUGUCCCACCGGACUCCGGGAGAAGCUGACACUGAUUGGCGAGUUCUCCUGAGGAAGGCGGGGCCAGUUUCCAUGGUGUCAGCACAACAACACUCCAAACUAAGGCUGCCUCAGGUGCAGAGCUCUUGGAUUUCACACACACAAGACAGUAUCUAAGUCACUACGUUGAGCUCCAAUUUCUAACCUUCCUGCCUCAGCCUCCCGAGUAAUUACAGGU
This is an RNA transcript of Fukomys damarensis (Damara mole-rat), 3879 nucleotides long. It is a transcript of the gene named ankyrin repeat domain 66, with no coding region annotated. The record is from RefSeq and is a predicted model, not a curated record. NCBI's taxonomy places the organism in Eukaryota, Metazoa, Chordata, Mammalia, Rodentia, Bathyergidae. The transcript is spliced from 5 exons.